GGCUUAGAGUUUGAUCAUGGCUCAGGACGAACGCUGGCGGCGUGCUUAACACAUGCAAGUCGAACGGGGUGUUUAUUUCGGUAAACACCAAGUGGCGAACGGGUGAGUAACGCGUAAGCAAUCUACCUUCAAGAUGGGGACAACACUUCGAAAGGGGUGCUAAUACCGAAUGAAUGUAAGAGUAUCGCAUGAGACACUUACUAAAGGAGGCCUCUGAAUAUGCUUCCGCUUGAAGAUGAGCUUGCGUCUGAUUAGCUAGUUGGUGAGGGUAAAGGCCCACGAAGGCGACGAUCAGUAGCCGGUCUGAGAGGAUGAACGGCCACAUUGGGACUGAGACACGGCCCAGACUCCUACGGGAGGCAGCAGUGGGGAAUCUUCCGCAAUGGGCGAAAGCCUGACGGAGCAACGCCGCGUGAACGAUGAAGGUCUUAGGAUCGUAAAGUUCUGUUGUUAGGGACGAAGGGUAAGAAUCAUAAUACGGUUUUUAUUUGACGGUACCUAACGAGGAAGCCACGGCUAACUACGUGCCAGCAGCCGCGGUAAUACGUAGGCGGCAAGCGUUGUCCGGAAUUAUUGGGCGUAAAGGGAGCGCAGGCGGGAAACUAAGCGGAUCUUAAAAGUGCGGGGCUCAACCCCGUGAGGGGGUCCGAACUGGUUUUCUUGAGUGCAGGAGAGGAAAGCGGAAUUCCCAGUGUAGCGGUGAAAUGCGUAGAUAUUGGGAAGAACACCAGUGGCGAAAGCGGCUUUCUGGACUGUAACUGACGCUGAGCUCGAAAGCUAGGGUAGCGAACGGGAUUAGAUACCCCGGUAGUCCUAGCCGUAAACGAUGGAUACUAGUGUGGGGAGUAUCGACCCCUUCGUGCNAGUNCG
Molecule: ribosomal RNA, 870 nt
Filed under: uncultured bacterium
Lineage: Bacteria
Description: bacterial SSU rRNA
Rfam family: Bacterial small subunit ribosomal RNA
Source: RNAcentral